Molecule: long non-coding RNA, 353 nt
Organism: Bombina bombina (fire-bellied toad)
Lineage: Eukaryota; Metazoa; Chordata; Amphibia; Anura; Bombinatoridae
Exons: 3
Source: RefSeq, a predicted model, not a curated record
CUUGAGUCUGGGCUGUCUGCUCAUCCACAAUGGGGGCAUGGUCUUCUGUUGAUGUUUGGUCAACGAUGACAGAUGACGAUGGUGAAAAGCAUGUUGCUUGAAUAUUUUCAACAGGACUUCCCUCUACACAAAGAACAGUUUGUUAUAACUUACGUGGAGGAGUAGUGGGCAUCUCUCCACUUCCGAAGGCUGCUACUGGUGGGAUCCGAAUCCGAGUUACUAACACUGUUAAAUAUAGAAUAAAAUCAGCACAAGCCAAGGUACUUACCAGAACUAGGCUGAGGCGUGCUUGGGGCUGAUCGCCCUGCAGAGUGUUUUCGGUGAUCUGGAAAACAUCAAGGAUAAGAGACAGG